This 1392-nucleotide ribosomal RNA is filed under the name Shewanella sp. 4t3-1-2LB. RNAcentral describes it as "partial 23S ribosomal RNA". It matches the Rfam family "Bacterial large subunit ribosomal RNA", at positions 1 to 1446 of the family's 2925-position model. Lineage: Bacteria; Pseudomonadati; Pseudomonadota; Gammaproteobacteria; Alteromonadales; Shewanellaceae. The record is from RNAcentral.
GGUUAAGCGACUAAGCGUAUACGGUGGAUGCCUUGGCAGUCAGAGGCGAUGAAGGACGUGUUAAUCUGCGAAAAGCUGUGGUGAGGUGAUAAAACCCGUUGAGCCACAGAUAUCCGAAUGGGGCAACCCAGCUGCAUAAGCAGCUAUCUGCAUGUGAAUCCAUAGCAUGCAGAGGCGAACCGGGAGAACUGAAACAUCUAAGUACCCCGAGGAAAAGAAAUCAACCGAGAUUCCCCUAGUAGCGGCGAGCGAACGGGGAGUAGCCCUUAAGUCAUUGGGGUGUUAGUGGAAGGUGUUGGAAAGCACCACGGUACAGGGUGAUAGUCCCGUACACGACAACUAACCGAUGAUGAAAACGAGUAAGGCGACACACGUGGUAUGUUGUCUGAAGAUGGGGGGACCAUCCUCCAAGGCUAAAUACUCCUGACUGACCGAUAGUGAACCAGUACCGUGAGGGAAAGGCGAAAAGAACCCCAGUGAGGGGAGUGAAAUAGAACCUGAAACCGUAUACGUACAAGCAGUGGGAGCGGUCCUUGAGACCGUGACUGCGUACCUUUUGUAUAAUGGGUCAGCGACUUACAUUUAGUAGCGAGGUUAAGCGAAUAGCGGAGCCGUAGGGAAACCGAGUGUUAACUGCGCGAAUAGUUGCUAGGUGUAGACCCGAACCCCGGUGAUCUAGCCAUGGGCAGGUUGAAGAUUGAGUAACAUCAAUUGGAGGACCGAACACACGUCUGUUGAAAAAGACGGUGAUGACCUGUGGCUGGGGGUGAAAGGCCAAUCAAACCGGGAGAUAUCUGGUUCUCCUCGAAAGCUAUUUAGGUAGCGCCUCGAGCGAAUACCAUUGGGGGUAGAGCACUGUUAAGACUAGGGGGUCAUCCCGACUUACCAACUCUUUGCAAACUCCGAAUACCAAUGAGUACUACUCGGGAGACAGACGGCGGGUGCUAACGUCCGUCGUCAAAAGGGAAACAACCCAGACCGUCAGCUAAGGUCCCAAAGUUAUUGCUAAGUGGGAAACGAUGUGGGAAGGCUUAGACAGCUAGGAUGUUGGCUUAGAAGCAGCCAUCAUUUAAAGAAAGCGUAAUAGCUCACUAGUCGAGUCGGCCUGCGCGGAAGAUGUAACGGGGCUAAGCAAUACACCGAAGCUACGGGUUCACACUAUGUGUGAGCGGUAGAGGAGCGUUCUGUAAGCGGAUGAAGGUGAAGGGGUAACCCACACUGGACGUAUCAGAAGUGCGAAUGCUGACAUGAGUAACGAUAAUGGGGGUGAAAAACCUCCACGCCGAAAGACCAAGGGUUCCUGUCCAACGUUAAUCGGGGCAGGGUGAGUCGACCCCUAAGGCGAGGCCGAAAGGCGUAGUCGAUGGGAAACGGGUUAAUAUUCCCGUACUU